AGCUUUGCGCAGUGGCAGUGGCCUGUGAGGUUAAUCCGAGGCGCGAUUAUUGCUAGUUGAAAACUCUUCCCAAUACCCUGCCAUGACGACUGGAAAAACAGUUGGCAUUGGCAAUUUUUGAGAGCCUCUUCGGAGG
This is a small nuclear RNA of Tyto alba (common barn owl), 136 nucleotides long. RefSeq annotates it as U4 spliceosomal RNA. The transcript has a single exon. The record is from RefSeq and is a predicted model, not a curated record. Lineage: Eukaryota; Metazoa; Chordata; Aves; Strigiformes; Tytonidae.